AGAGAGAGAGAGAGAGAGAGAGAGAGAGAGAGAGAGAGAGAGAGAGAAAAUUGUCUCGCAUGUUUUUGCUUGUUCUCCGUUUGGCUCCAAUGUUGCCACCAUUACGGCCAAACGGUUCAAAUGCGAUGAUUGAGCCCAGUCUUCGGAUUAGAAUGUUUGUAACUCCUUCCAUAACCAUACCAUUUGCUUUUCGGUUAAAUUUUGCCAAAUUGUUGCUUACAUGAAAAUUUUAUAUACGAAUAUUUUUCACUGUGAUAAAAAAAAAAAAAAACACUGAUUACUACCUUUUAUCAAAGCCGAAGUCUGGGCUCUAUCGUCACAUUCGGAACAACGUGAUGCUGAACCAGGAUUCUACCUUCAGACCUUGGACUGUGAAGUAAUUAGACUGCAUCUGGACACUAAACUUAUUCUAAAAAUGUUUCUGAAAAAUUAGAUUCUUACUUAAGAUAAAACAAAAUAAGAAGAACUAAAUAAGUAAGCAAAAAAGACGCAUACAUUAUGUGCACAUGUCCUGGGUAUGACACUAAACUGCAUCCAGACAGCGUGUGAAGAUUAUGCUAAGGGUUAGGCAGUCCCACCUAACUUCUAUAAAAUGCUCUCAUACGAUCGUUAUUAAUCAUGCUGUGACUGGCGAGUGCGGUCGGCGCCAUAAAACCGAACGGGCCCUUGGGUAAUUUAGGGUUUAGGGACGACAGGUAACAGCAGAUCCAUUGGUACCAAAUCAGAGGGGAAGGAAGAUGAACUACGACCAGGAAGGCCAACGGUAGCAACAGGAGCAACAUUGCACUCAUCGCCAGAGGAACUCGCCGUGCAAAAUUCUGCCACUGUCUUUUUGAACGCUUAAUCAGGCAGUCAAGCCCCACUAACGCAUGUCAAAGCAUGGUGUGUGUCCACGUAGCCAAUACUAACCACUGUUCGAGCACGUAACUGAGGUCCAGAUCAUUGAGGGAAGGCCGUCGUUAUUCAUUGCAGGACACACUUCUGCAAUGACUUCUAAGUUGGUGUCUUAAGGAGCAGUCUCCAAGUAAGCAAAAUAUCAAAUAAAUAUUGAAAAAAAGGGUUCUGAAGUGCUGUAAUAAGUUCGAAACGAAUUGUAUCCCCGUUUUUGCUUAAGGAAUAAUAUUGUUUUCUACGAAGUGGUGAAAUAUGUAUUUUAUUAACUGUCUAAGUAUUUUUUUUGCUUCCUUUGUUUAACAGAUGUAGAAUAUUAUACUUGUAAUUGCUAAUUUGUUAUACUUUAUAUAUACUAAAACUGCGCACAAUAAACGUAAUAGGUAGCUCUCUGUGA
Molecule: long non-coding RNA, 1288 nt
Organism: Penaeus chinensis
Lineage: Eukaryota; Metazoa; Arthropoda; Malacostraca; Decapoda; Penaeidae
Exons: 2
Source: RefSeq, a predicted model, not a curated record